CAGCAGCCGCGGUAACACGGAGGGUGCAAGCGUUAAUCGGAAUUACUGGGCGUAAAGCGCACGCAGGCGGUCUGACAAGUCAGAUGUGAAAUCCCCGGGCUUAACCUGGGAACUGCAUUUGAAACUGUCAGGCUGGAGUCUUGUAGAGGGGGGUGGAAUUCCAGGUGUAGCGGUGAAAUGCGUAGAGAUCUGGAGGAAUACCGGUGGCGAAGGCGGCCCCCUGGACAAAGACUGACGCUCAGGUGCGAAAGCGUGGGGAGCAAACAGGAUUAGAUACCCCUGUAGUCCCUGUCUCUUAUAA
RNAcentral lists this ribosomal RNA (301 nucleotides) under uncultured bacterium. RNAcentral describes it as "partial 16S ribosomal RNA". It matches the Rfam family "Bacterial small subunit ribosomal RNA", at positions 509 to 809 of the family's 1533-position model. The record is from RNAcentral.